AACGACUCUCGACAACGGAUAUCUCGGCUCUCGCAUCGAUGAAGAACGUAGCGAAAUGCGAUACUUGGUGUGAAUUGCAGAAUCCCGUGAACCAUCGAGUCUUUGAACGCAAGUUGCGCCUGAAGCCACUAGGCCGAGGGCACGCCUGCCUGGGUGUCACGC
This 162-nucleotide ribosomal RNA is filed under the name Rhodosciadium dissectum. RNAcentral describes it as "5.8S ribosomal RNA". It matches the Rfam family "5.8S ribosomal RNA". From Rfam's summary of the family: 5.8S ribosomal RNA (5.8S rRNA) is a component of the large subunit of the eukaryotic ribosome. The record is from RNAcentral. Lineage: Eukaryota; Viridiplantae; Streptophyta; Magnoliopsida; Apiales; Apiaceae. RNAcentral also lists the same sequence under 1 other name.